CGUACACUCCUGCGGGAGGCAGCAGUGGGGAAUAUUGCACAAUGGGCGCAAGCCUGAUGCAGCCAUGCCGCGUGUAUGAAGAAGGCCUUCGGGUUGUAAAGUACUUUCAGCGGGGAGGAAGGCGAUAAGGUUAAUAACCUUGUCGAUUGACGUUACCCGCAGAAGAAGCACCGGCUAACUCCGUGCCAGCAGCCGCGGUAAUACGGAGGGUGCAAGCGUUAAUCGGAAUUACUGGGCGUAAAGCGCACGCAGGCGGUCUGUCAAGUCGGAUGUGAAAUCCCCGGGCUCAACCUGGGAACUGCAUUCGAAACUGGCAGGCUAGAGUCUUGUAGAGGGGGGUAGAAUUCCAGGUGUAGCGGUGAAAUGCGUAGAGAUCUGGAGGAAUACCGGUGGCGAAGGCGGCCCCCUGGACAAAGACUGACGCUCAGGUGCGAAAGCGUGGGGAGCAAACAGGAUUAGAUACCCCUGUAGUCCCA
RNAcentral lists this ribosomal RNA (476 nucleotides) under uncultured organism. RNAcentral's name for it is "partial 16S ribosomal RNA". It matches the Rfam family "Bacterial small subunit ribosomal RNA", at positions 330 to 797 of the family's 1533-position model. The record is from RNAcentral.